Molecule: ribosomal RNA, 459 nt
Filed under: uncultured bacterium
Lineage: Bacteria
Description: SSU rRNA
Rfam family: Bacterial small subunit ribosomal RNA
Source: RNAcentral
AGAAUCAACGCUGGCGGCGUGCCUAACACAUGCAAGUCGCACGAGAAAGGGGAGCAAUCCCUGAGUAAAGUGGCGCACGGGUGAGUAACACGUGAAUAAUCUACCUCCGAGUGGGGAAUAACUGAGAGAAAUCUUAGCUAAUACCGCAUAACACUUACGAGUCAAAGCAGCAAUGCGCUUGGAGAGGAGUUCGCGGCCGAUUAGUUAGUUGGCGGGGUAAUGGCCCACCAAGACGAUGAUCGGUAUCCGGCCUGAGAGGGCGCACGGACACACUGGAACUGAAACACGGUCCAGACUCCUACGGGAGGCAGCAGUGGGGAAUUUUGCGCAAUGGGGAAACCCUGACGCAGCAACGCCGCGUGGAGGAUGAAGCCCCUUGGGGUGUAAACUCCUUCGAUCGGGAAGAUAAUGACGGUACCGAUAUAAGAAGCCCCGGACUAACUUCGUGCCAGCAGCCGC